AGAGUUUGAUCAUGGCUCAGAUUGAACGCUGGCGGCAGGCCUAACACAUGCAAGUCGAGCGGUAGCACAGAGAGCUUGCUCUCGGGUGACGAGCGGCGGACGGGUGAGUAAUGUCUGGGAAACUGCCUGAUGGAGGGGGAUAACUACUGGAAACGGUAGCUAAUACCGCAUAACGUCGCAAGACCAAAGUGGGGGACCUUCGGGCCUCAUGCCAUCAGAUGUGCCCAGAUGGGAUUAGCUAGUAGGUGGGGUAACGGCUCACCUAGGCGACGAUCCCUAGCUGGUCUGAGAGGAUGACCAGCCACACUGGAACUGAGACACGGUCCAGACUCCUACGGGAGGCAGCAGUGGGGAAUAUUGCACAAUGGGCGCAAGCCUGAUGCAGCCAUGCCGCGUGUGUGAAGAAGGCCUUCGGGUUGUAAAGCACUUUCAGCGGGGAGGAAGGCGAUAAGGUUAAUAACCUUGUCGAUUGACGUUACCCGCAGAAGAAGCACCGGCUAACUCCGUGCCAGCAGCCGCGGUAAUACGGAGGGUGCAAGCGUUAAUCGGAAUUACUGGGCGUAAAGCGCACGCAGGCGGUCUGUCAAGUCGGAUGUGAAAUCCCCGGGCUCAACCUGGGAACUGCAUUCGAAACUGGCAGGCUAGAGUCUUGUAGAGGGGGGUAGAAUUCCAGGUGUAGCGGUGAAAUGCGUAGAGAUCUGGAGGAAUACCGGUGGCGAAGGCGGCCCCCUGGACAAAGACUGACGCUCAGGUGCGAAAGCGUGGGGAGCAAACAGGAUUAGAUACCCUGGUAGUCCACGCCGUAAACGAUGUCGAUUUGGAGGUUGUGCCCUUGAGGCGUGGCUUCCGGAGCUAACGCGUUAAAUCGACCGCCUGGGGAGUACGGCCGCAAGGUUAAAACUCAAAUGAAUUGACGGGGGCCCGCACAAGCGGUGGAGCAUGUGGUUUAAUUCGAUGCAACGCGAAGAACCUUACCUGGUCUUGACAUCCACAGAACUUUCCAGAGAUGGAUUGGUGCCUUCGGGAACUGUGAGACAGGUGCUGCAUGGCUGUCGUCAGCUCGUGUUGUGAAAUGUUGGGUUAAGUCCCGCAACGAGCGCAACCCUUAUCCUUUGUUGCCAGCGGUCCGGCCGGGAACUCAAAGGAGACUGCCAGUGAUAAACUGGAGGAAGGUGGGGAUGACGUCAAGUCAUCAUGGCCCUUACGACCAGGGCUACACACGUGCUACAAUGGCAUAUACAAAGAGAAGCGACCUCGCGAGAGCAAGCGGACCUC
Molecule: ribosomal RNA, 1275 nt
Filed under: Klebsiella pneumoniae CHS 11
Lineage: Bacteria; Pseudomonadati; Pseudomonadota; Gammaproteobacteria; Enterobacterales; Enterobacteriaceae
Description: bacterial SSU rRNA
Rfam family: Bacterial small subunit ribosomal RNA
Source: RNAcentral